Non-coding RNA from Dermacentor andersoni, 1190 nucleotides. The record is from RefSeq and is a predicted model, not a curated record. Lineage: Eukaryota; Metazoa; Arthropoda; Arachnida; Ixodida; Ixodidae.
AUGAUUACCAUUUGUUACAGGUAAUUACAAUACUAUGCAGCUAAAUUUUGGUGGUUGAUUUUACAAAGAACAUUGGCCACAUUAUGAGCACAACCGGUGGCAAAGGUUUCGAACAAAUUUCCAUUUUUACGUGCAGGUCAACGGUUCUCUUUAACGCUUUCUAUAGUGAUUUCCUCCAGCUAUUUUUUGUCUACUAGCACAACAUCCUAAAAAAAAAAGCGGUUCUUCGUAUGUCGUUAGGCAGAGUAGCAAACCAGAGCUUGAAGCGUCGCCGCGAACAUCUCACUGGUCAAAAAUUUAUAUUUUUCUCCUACGUCAUCGUUGCUUACGCCGCUGAAGAAAACUGCCUCCAUCAUAUAUACGGUUAGGUCAGGUAUUAUUAUUAUUAUAGGGUAGCACAAUGUGACGUACUGCAGUCACAAGAGUACAUCGCAAUCUUGCACGUGACGCUUACAAACUAAAUGAGGCAAGUUGGAAGUGUCGCUACAAUGUACAUACGGUAUUUGCAUAAUUCAUCGCCUGUAGUUCUAUGGGAUAUUCGCGCCUCACAGAAAAGAGGCUGCGAAAAAGAAAAAAAAAAGAAAAAAGAAACACCGAAAGGAGAAACUGAGGAUUGAGUGAGUGAGGGACAUGCGGCCUGUUGACAGCUGCAAGGAAAUCUACUCUGCGUUUCAGCAUUUCUUCAUCUUUUUUUUUCCGUGCCGCUUGCGAGCACAAAUGCACGAACGAUUUCCUUGCGCAACUACGGAGCCGGGCCAUCGUGGCGGGCGGAAGGGUACGUGCCGCCUUGAGCGAAACCGUAUAUAACGGUGGCAGUUCCGGCAACGAGGCACCGACACCGACCGCAUCACGCAGCCUCUUCUCUCGAGCAGCAGCCUUCGGAGCAUCACGCACCCAGCUACCAUGAUCAAGGUUCUGGUCCUCCUCGCCAUUCUGGCCUUGUUCGCUGUCUCCUACACUGUGGCAGCGCCACAGUACUACGUCGCAGACAGCCUGUACUACGGCUAUCCGUACGCGGGUUACUAUGGCGCCUACUACCCGCACUACUACUACGGGCGCUAAGCUCGAUCCACAACGACAGUUCACGGUAACCCUUUCUUCGAAAGCAACCUCACCUCGCUAACGCAUUCCAGUGUCCACUGCCAAUGGCACCUGUGAAGUACUGCCUCGUCAUCCCGGCAUGUUGAACU